Molecule: non-coding RNA, 381 nt
Organism: Myodes glareolus (Bank vole)
Lineage: Eukaryota; Metazoa; Chordata; Mammalia; Rodentia; Cricetidae
Source: RefSeq, a predicted model, not a curated record
UCAGCUGCUGACUGGAAAGCUGAGCUAUUCAUCUUUCCACACAAGACUGGGAGGUUGAUGAAGAAGCUCGGAUCUGGAGUGCUGUGCAAAGUGAAACCUUCGCUGGACCCAAGACGAGGGCUGUCCGUGGCCAGAAGAGAGAACCAGACCAUGGUUGUGAGCCACCAUGUGGUUGCCAGGAAUUGAACUCAGGACCUUUGGAAGACCAGGCUAAUCAGAUGAGUGUCAAGUGUCCUAGGUGACAAACACAAACCACCACAGCAACUAAGGACGAUAAUGAAAUGGCUCAGUGCAAAUGCUGGGAAGGGAAAAGUAAAGACAUCAAACCCAGAAUUAAUUCGGCCUGAGGUCUAAUUGGAGAAACAGCAGCGCCAACCGGAG